CCUACGGGUGGCUGCAGUGGGGAAUAUUGGACAAUGGGCGAAAGCCUGAUCCAGCCAUGCCGCGUGUGUGAAGAAGGCCUUCGGGUUGUAAAGCACUUUCAGUGGGGAAGAAAGCCUUGGGGCUAAUACCCUCGAGGAAGGACAUCACCCACAGAAGAAGCACCGGCUAACUCCGUGCCAGCAGCCGCGGUAAUACGGAGGGUGCGAGCGUUAAUCGGAAUUACUGGGCGUAAAGCGCGCGUAGGCGGUCUGAUAAGCCGGUUGUGAAAGCCCCGGGCUCAACCUGGGAACGGCAUCCGGAACUGUCAGGCUAGAGUGCAGGAGAGGAAGGUAGAAUUCCCGGUGUAGCGGUGAAAUGCGUAGAGAUCGGGAGGAAUACCAGUGGCGAAGGCGGCCUUCUGGACUGACACUGACGCUGAGGUGCGAAAGCGUGGGUAGCAAACAGGAUUAGAUCCUGGUAGUC
This 463-nucleotide ribosomal RNA is filed under the name Vreelandella stevensii. Its description in RNAcentral is "partial 16S ribosomal RNA". It matches the Rfam family "Bacterial small subunit ribosomal RNA", at positions 338 to 795 of the family's 1533-position model. Lineage: Bacteria; Pseudomonadati; Pseudomonadota; Gammaproteobacteria; Oceanospirillales; Halomonadaceae. The record is from RNAcentral.